UAAGCCCAAUCGAGGAACAAAUCGUUCGAUGUUUCGAGCCCAUGAGGAGUUUGCCACCUGGGUCCUCCGACUCCGACACGAAGAAACGCGAUCGCGGGCGAAGGCGACGUGCGACGAUCAAGGUUGAGAAAUACUUACCACCAAUUCUGAGAAGUUCCUCCACCGUGCCAGGUAUAUAGGUUAAUGGCAAGCAAAAUAAAGGAUCUCCAGAAAAAAACUUGCAGAGUGGAAUAGAACAUACAAAUUUUUUUGUGCGACUGGUCCCUUGGACAACAAGAUUUGUCAUAUUUCCAAUGAGGUCAUCUUCCCUGAAGUUUGGUAUCACUGCUCCUAUCCAGGUUCUUUUUGGGUCAGGGUAUCGGUCGGCAAUCAUAUAGUUAAAGCAUCCAGAACAAUGAACUGCAAAAAUAGUUACCUGCGUUACAAAAAAGUUAUUCUUUUAGAAAUCAAGCAGCUUUUUGAAGCAAGACAAAUUGAAUACCAUUCUGAAAGCUUACUGAGAAAAGUUUUGUGCACCGUGUCCAGAAAUAAUUGAACCGAAUAUCCUUCUCAAGCCUGAGGAAAGAAAAUUAAUGAGAUUGUUCCUGUUCUUCUAUUUGUGAUAUAUGUACUGAGAAAUGGGAGAAAAUACAGACCUAGCAAACAGAGAACCGACACGAC
Molecule: long non-coding RNA, 660 nt
Organism: Musa acuminata AAA Group (dessert banana)
Lineage: Eukaryota; Viridiplantae; Streptophyta; Magnoliopsida; Zingiberales; Musaceae
Exons: 4
Source: RefSeq, a predicted model, not a curated record